This 1521-nucleotide ribosomal RNA is filed under the name Triticum aestivum (bread wheat). RNAcentral describes it as "partial small subunit ribosomal RNA". The record is from RNAcentral. Lineage: Eukaryota; Viridiplantae; Streptophyta; Magnoliopsida; Poales; Poaceae.
AUGGCCGAUUUGACAGGAAGGAGCAUGGAACCACCAGCUGCUGCAUGGCCACCCUGCGGCUUUCCGGCCAACUGGUCCUUGGAACCCGUGUGGGCUCCUGGCUUCCCCGUCGAGUCUGCAAUGUGGUUCCAGACACAUGCUUCUAGCAGCUCUAGCGAAGAGCAGCUGCAACAGCUUCGGUAUGGGGCAGCGACAACACCAAAUUUAGCUAUCCAGGAAGAAGAAGAAGCACAAUACAAGAUGGAAAUGGAGAUCCACGACCCGAUCCAAGUAUUCGCGGAAGCAGCACACGAGUUCAAGAUCAACAUCAACAUGAGGGACAUGAAGAUCCACAGGUACCCGGCAAGCAUUCAACGUCUCGAAGCCUGCUACACCACCCCGACGACGGUGGCCAUCGGGCCUUACCACCACGGGGAGGACCGCCUCAGGCCGGCGGAGAAGGUGAAGCACGUGGCCGCCUACCACUGCAUCAUGGAGUCGGGCCGCUCCGUCCAGGAGAUGUACGCCACGGUGGCCUCGGUCGCCGGCGAGGCCCGAGGGCUCUACGACAAGGACAUGGUGGCAGGUAUCGGCGACGAUGACUUCCUGCCCAUGAUGUUCUACGAUGCGUGCUUCCUCGUGCAAUACAUGCUCACGUGCACCAGUGGUGGCUCCGAGAUGGAUCCGUCGCUGCGCAGCUACUUCGACGGAAACGAUAGCAACAUCUUCCACGACAUCCUGCUGCUCGAGAACCAACUCCCAUGGCGGGUGGUCAAGACCGUCAUGGGGUUCAGGCCGGUUCUCUUGGAGGAGUUCAUCACUUACUUGAAAGAUGGCCUGCAAGACCGCAAAUUAACCGAGAAGAAGUCUCCGGCAUUGGACGAUAGCUACGAGCCGCCGCACCUCCUCGGCCUUCUUCGAUUCUACAUUGUGGGGAGAAGCAACAUCAAGCGCACCCGCCUACCCCAAACCGAGUCGAUGUCGUUCUCCGUGAGCGCCAUCGAACUCGCGGAAAUCGGCAUCACGCUGACAGCCAACAAGACAAGCGAGCUCAUAGAGAUGGGCGUCAAGAACAAGCGGGUCCUCUUCGCCGAGAUCUCCCUGCCAUCAUUGUCCCUGGACCAUGCGCGCGCGAGCUGGCUCAUCAACAUGGCGGCUUUCGAGGUAUGCACCACCCCAAACUUCCAAGCGGUCGAAGACGAGGAGUCCGUUGUCAGCUCGUACCUCCUCCUCUUUGCCAUGUUGGUGGACCGGGAGGAGGACGUGCACGAGCUGCGAAGGAAGCGUCUCCUGCAGGGAGGAGGAGGGCUCACCAACAAGGAGGCGCUCGACUUCUUCACCGGGCUUCAGGGUCUACCGCUCGGAUCCAGCUAUAUCCGCAUCAUGGAAGAGAUUGAGAAUUACCGGGUCAAGAGGCGAACGCGGACCAAGUUGCACGCCUUCGUUUACAAGAACUUGAGGAUCAUCGUUACUGUCUUCUCUGCUGUUGGUUUUCUCGCCGGUGUCUUUGGCUCGCUUAUGUCUCUCAGGAGACGAUCUUAG